This 118-nucleotide ribosomal RNA is filed under the name Diaphorina citri (Asian citrus psyllid). The record is from RNAcentral. Lineage: Eukaryota; Metazoa; Arthropoda; Insecta; Hemiptera; Psyllidae.
GCCAUCAACAAUAGUACGUUGAACGCAUUAGUUUAAAUUAGAUUACUGAAGUUAAGAAACGUUGGAUAUGGUUGGGACCCGGAUGGGUGACCAUCAGGGAAACCACGUGUUGCUGACU